Molecule: ribosomal RNA, 497 nt
Filed under: uncultured bacterium
Lineage: Bacteria
Description: partial 16S ribosomal RNA
Rfam family: Bacterial small subunit ribosomal RNA
Source: RNAcentral
GAUGAACGCUGGCGGCGUGCCUAAUACAUGCAAGUCGAGCGAACAGACGAGGCGCUUGCUCCUUUGACGUUAGCGGCGGACGGGUGAGUAACACGUGGGUAACCUACCUAUAAGACUGGGAUAACUUCGGGAAACCGGAGCUAAUACCGGAUAAUAUUUCGAACCGCAUGGUUCGAUAGUGAAAGAUGGCUUUGCUAUCACUUAUAGAUGGACCUGCGCCGUAUUAGCUAGUUGGUAAGGUAACGGCUUACCAAGGCAACGAGACGUAGCCGACCUGAGAGGGUGAGCGGCCACACAGGAAGUGAGACACGGGCCAGAGUCCUACGGGAGGGAGCGGUGGGGAAUCUUCCGCAAUGGGCGAGAGCCUGACGGGGAGACGCCGCGUGAGUGAUGAAGGUCUUCGGAGCGUGAAACUCUGUUAUGAGGGAAGAAAAAACGUGGAAGUAACUGUGCACGUCGUGACGGUACCUGAUCAGAAAGCCACGGCUAACUACGUG